This is a non-coding RNA of Lupinus angustifolius (narrow-leaved blue lupine), 81 nucleotides long. Lineage: Eukaryota; Viridiplantae; Streptophyta; Magnoliopsida; Fabales; Fabaceae. The record is from Rfam.
GUCUUGGUGGUGAAAUAGUAGACACGCAAGACUCAAAAUUUCAUGUUAAAGAGUGUGGAGGUUCAAGUCCUCUUCAAGGCA